This 253-nucleotide ribosomal RNA is filed under the name uncultured Eubacteriales bacterium. RNAcentral describes it as "uncultured Clostridiales bacterium partial 16S ribosomal RNA". It matches the Rfam family "Bacterial small subunit ribosomal RNA", at positions 524 to 776 of the family's 1533-position model. Lineage: Bacteria; Bacillati; Bacillota; Clostridia; Eubacteriales. The record is from RNAcentral.
UACGUAGGGGGCAAGCGUUAUCCGGAUUUACUGGGUGUAAAGGGAGCGUAGACGGCAGGGCAAGUCUGGAGUGAAAGCCCGGGGCCCAACCCCGGGAGUGCAUUUGAAACUGCCAUGCUGGAGUGCCGGAGAGGUAAGCGGAAUUCCUAGUGUAGCGGUGAAAUGCUUAGAUAUCACGAAGAACUCCGAUUGCGAAGGCAGCUCACUGGACUGCAACUGACACUGAGGCUCGAAAGUGCGGGUAUCAAACAGG